CACUACCAUUUUAUAUAUCGGUUGAUUUUAACAUAGACUCAAGGUUUGAGAUUUCAAGUAUCCGUUUUAUAUCGGUAAAAAGUGGUAUUUGUUCAUCCCUAAUUGUAAGACAUUUGAAAUCAUUUGCAUCAUGACACUGUUGCACAUUUGUCAAAAUCAUCUAAAUUUAUGUAAUCUCUUUGAUUUGAUCCAAAGCUAAAUAUUUAGCUAUGAAUAAUAAUAAGUUAUUUAGCGAUGUUUUGAACUUAUUUGCUAUGUAUUUGGUGGUGCUUAGUUCUGCAAGACCCUUACCUAACCCAUUGUUAACUUCACUUCACUAGAAACAAUGG
Cinara cedri is the source of this 329-nucleotide non-coding RNA. The record is from the annotation of a GenBank genome assembly. Lineage: Eukaryota; Metazoa; Arthropoda; Insecta; Hemiptera; Aphididae.